RNAcentral lists this ribosomal RNA (775 nucleotides) under uncultured Neocallimastigales. RNAcentral's name for it is "partial large subunit ribosomal RNA". It matches the Rfam family "Eukaryotic large subunit ribosomal RNA", at positions 24 to 649 of the family's 3401-position model. The record is from RNAcentral. Lineage: Eukaryota; Fungi; Neocallimastigomycota; Neocallimastigomycetes; Neocallimastigales.
ACGACUACAUAUCAGGCAUAUCAAUAAGCGGAGGAAAAGAAACUAACAAGGAUUCCCUUAGUAACGGCGAGUGAAGCGGGAAGAGCUCAAAUUUGAAAUCUUCAAGGUUUUACCUUGACGAAUUGUAGUUUAAAGAAGUGUUUUCUGUUAGAUUUGAGUAGAAAAGUUCCUUGGAAUGGGACAUCAUAGAGGGUGAGAAUCCCGUAUUUGGUUAUUCAUUCUAGCUUUGUGAUACACUUUCAAAGAGUCGGAUUGUUUGGGAAUGCAGUCCAAAAUGGGUGGUAAAUUUCAUCUAAAGCUAAAUAUUGGCGAGAGACCGAUAGCGAACAAGUACCGUGAGGGAAAGAUGAAAAGAACUUUGAAAAGAGAGUUAAACAGUACGUGAAAUUGUCAAAAGGGAAGCGUUUGACACCAGUGUUGUUUUUCCGAAAAUCAAUUACGAAUGGCUUGAUUUUGUGUUGUAUUGACCUUAUCAGCUUUCUUCACUUUUUUCGAGUCUUUCUUAAUGCACUUUUCGGUUAACAAGUCAACAUCAAUUUCUUUUGUUGUAAAAGAGUAUUCGGAAGGUGGCUUUCUUUUCGGAGAAAGUGUUUAUAGCCCUAUACUUCUACAAUCGGAGAGAUUGAGGUCUGCAGCGUAGAUCCUUCGGGGUUAGAUACACUUGUGCUAAGUUGUAGCCUUUCAUAGACAACUUGUUGACUAUGUUUAGUCAUGCGGCUUACUCGCUUCAUGCUAUUUUACCUACGCUUAGGAUGUUGAGUAGCGACAUACGCAC